Molecule: regulatory RNA element, 208 nt
Rfam family: raiA RNA
Source: Rfam
GAUAUUUAGGUCUGUGGUUGAAAGUCCAAGCCAGUCGCAGGCAAAGGGAUCCACGUAAGUUAACACUAAAAACUGGGUUAAUGAUCAUGGUGCGGCUUAGAAGUAAGACCUACCGAUAAUAAAAUCGAGAGAGAGUAGUAGUGCGGCGAACCCAAGCGAACCCUCCAGUAGGCGAGUGUGGGGUCAAAAACCAGGUCAGCUAAAUAUC